This 468-nucleotide ribosomal RNA is filed under the name uncultured bacterium. Its description in RNAcentral is "partial 16S ribosomal RNA". It matches the Rfam family "Bacterial small subunit ribosomal RNA", at positions 28 to 507 of the family's 1533-position model. The record is from RNAcentral.
GACGAACGCUGGCGGCGUGCUUAACACAUGCAAGUCGAACGGCAAGGCCCUGCUUUCGUGGGGUGAUCGAGUGGCGAACGGGUGCGUAACACGUGUGUAACCUGACCUAGUCUUUGGGAUAACUUCAGGUAACUGGGGCUACUCUAGGAUAGCAGCUCAUGUUGCAUGGUGGGGGUUGGAUCGUCUCGGCCGUUGCGGAUGGACUCGCGGCUUACGAGCUAGUUGGUGGGGUAGUGGCAUACCGAGGCUUGGACGGGUCGCCGGCCUGAGAGGGUGACCGGGGACCAGGGUACUGAGAGACGGCCCAGACUCGUACAGGAGGCAGCAGGGGGGAACAUUGCACAGUGGGCGGGAGUCGGUGACAGCGACGCCGCGUGCGUGAUGACGGCCUGCUGGGAAUGAACCGCAUUCGCCUGUGACGAAGCGGUAGUGACGGUAAUGAAUAAAGAAGCACCGGCUAACUACGUG